Molecule: long non-coding RNA, 728 nt
Filed under: Mus musculus (house mouse)
Lineage: Eukaryota; Metazoa; Chordata; Mammalia; Rodentia; Muridae
Description: RIKEN cDNA C130032M10 gene (ENSMUSG00000097821.4)
Source: RNAcentral
GAGGGAGCUGACUGGGGAAGCUGUGAGCCCAUUUACCUUCCACAACAGCUCACACUCCCGAUCCUCCAGGGCCUUCUUGUGGCGAGCUGUGACGGCCUUGACCUCAGACUGGACCACCUUCGCCUUCAUCUCCACCUGUUCUGCCACAGUCUGGGCCUGCUCGAUGCUCAGCUGCAAGAGCAAGCAAAACCUUGAGACAUUGGAAGGGACAUCACCUCCUACCUCACACACAGCAACUUCCAAGAGGCCUGUAGGGCUCGUGCUGGCUGGCACCCGAGGGUGUGUAACUGAGAGUUGCUGGCAAAGGCUGAGUCUCUUUGUCUCCGAAGUGGCACCUCCAGUGAGUAUCAGACUAUUAAGGAAUACUCUUUAACAACAGGGUCACCGGCGUGGCUGCGUUUGUGUGGAAUACUGGGAAUGACGGUCAGCUGUAAAGUAGCUCUGAGCUUGCACGGAUUUCCUGGACUUACUCCCCACACCUGAAGGCCUGAGAGGUCCCUCCCGAGGGCGCAGGGAGAGGGGCGGAGGUCAGUGGUCUCUCCGCCACGUGUGCAUCAUUUUCCAGCCAUCUCUCCCAAGCCAACAAUGUGCACUCUGGGAGCCUCACCUCAGCUAACCUAAGAAAACCCUCAAUCGUGCCCUGCAGUCCGGGGCCUCCAUCUUACGGCACCAGCCCCAGUACAUCGGGAAGCUUUAUCAGGCAUAUUGUUCAUAAAAAAUUAACUCGG